GGAUCUCUACCUGGAGAUCCCUUCUUUUGGAGUAUUUGGCAAGCCCUGAUCCUUGGGAUGGAUUGAGCCCAUCAGGCACUGGAAACCCUGAAGGAGACGAGCAAGGAGAUGAGCAAGCAUUAAAUCACCUAGAAAAAUGGCCACGGAGGAGUGCUGAGACAGUGGCUCAGGCUGCCCAGGGAGGUGAGGGAGUCGCUGUCACUGGAGGUGUUCAAGAACUGUGGAGACGUGGCACUGAGGGGACACAGCCAAUGAAGCUGAAAAAAAACCAACCCGCACCCCAAGGUGCCACCAGGAGGACUCUGUCCCGACAGCCAUGGUGGGAACAGCUCCCGCACCCCCCAGUGCCAUCUCCGAGCUCUGCCAGGAGGAGAGAAGCAAAAAAACACUCGAGCAGCCAGGAGACGAUCCCUCCAUCGAUUGUGUAAACUGUCAGUGGAGUGGCAAGGAGCAUUUUUUUUUAUUUAUUUCUAUCCCAGGGAAUAAUCCAGCCCGAUAAUUAGUACAUAAGAGAUAAGUGGAAAAUGAGACAUCUAGCGAGGGUGGUUCGAGGCUCCUCAUGACAUUGAUAAUGUGCAGAUACAUAGAUCACUGUCGGGGCCAACCGCCACCACGAGCCCGUGUCUUCCCAUUGCCUCAUCAAUCCAUCAUCCGCUUAGCUGCUGACACCUUGGCAGGCACACACCACCGGCCCCGCAUUAGAAUUGCAAGGAGCGGGCUCCACCGGGGAAUACAGAUUUAAAAAUCUAAGAUUCAAAUUUGUUUAAGUAUUGUGAACAGCAAUUCCCUCGCAAGGCAUCUUCAUUGCCCUUUUGCCAAGGGGGAACAGUUGGGUCUUUGUUAGAAGUACAAAUUGCUUCUUAAUGCAAAGGAUAAAGCGGAGCCCAGGCACCUCCUUAGAAUUCCUCCUGGCUCCCGCUAAUGCUGCUGCAUGUCAAUUUUAAUUUUUUGAAAUUUAAACCGAGGGCUUUGUGUCUAAGCUCCAUUUCGUUGGGAGAGGGGAGGGGGUGGGGGAGGAAUAGUCAAAAAGGAUUACAGAUCCGGAGGGAAUUGGGGAUCCAUAGCAAUUAUACUUCAUUUGGGUCUGAGACGCUGCUUUUAAUCAUAUUCUAAACGGUACAAAUCGACAAGGCGUUGGAGAUUGAUAAUUGUCGAACGCGUGUACCUGGUUAUGAACUCUGCUCCCCUCGGCCGGGGGAGGCUGGAGGAUGGGAUCAAGGCAGGAACUGCCUCCUCCCUCCUGGAACAGGGCACGCCGUGGCCCUCUGCGCAGCCAAGAGGGGACGCAUCCCACCAAGGGCUGAUAGGGGACUGUGAGAGCACAGCCAUCAAUGGGCUGCCCAGUGUGGGGCUGGAGUGAGCCCAUCCCCAGUGUGAGUCUGGACAGGGAUACUGCAGUUGGUGGAAGUGAGAGCAAACAGGGAAUUGGCUUCUGUAACUCAAUUAAAUCCCUUACAGGCAAGAAAUCUCAUCUUACCCCAACAGAGCGGUUUACCCAUUGCUCAUGGAAGAGCUCAGGGCUACACGCACCUUUACAAGAACACACUG
Gallus gallus (chicken) is the source of this 1548-nucleotide long non-coding RNA. RefSeq lists it as uncharacterized. The record is from RefSeq and is a predicted model, not a curated record. Lineage: Eukaryota; Metazoa; Chordata; Aves; Galliformes; Phasianidae. The transcript has 4 exons.